This 301-nucleotide ribosomal RNA is filed under the name uncultured bacterium. Its description in RNAcentral is "partial 16S ribosomal RNA". It matches the Rfam family "Bacterial small subunit ribosomal RNA", at positions 509 to 807 of the family's 1533-position model. The record is from RNAcentral.
CAGUCGCCGCGGUAAUACGUAGGUGGCAAGCGUUGUCCGGAAUUAUUGGGCGUAAAGGGCUCGCAGGCGGUUUCUUAAGUCUGAUGUGAAAGCCCCCGGCUCAACCGGGGAGGGUCAUUGGAAACUGGGAAACUUGAGUGCAGAAGAGGAGAGUGGAAUUCCACGUGUAGCGGUGAAAUGCGUAGAGAUGCGGAGGAACACCAGUGGCGAAGGCGACUCUCUGGUCUGUAACUGACGCUGAGGAGCGAAAGCGUGGGGAGCGAACAGGAUUAGAUACCCCGGUAGUCCCUGUCUCUUAUAC